GAUGAACGCUGGCGGCGUGCCUAAUACAUGCAAGUCGAACGAAACUUCUUUAUCGCCGAGUGCUUGCACUCACCGAUAAAGAGUUGUGUGGCGAACGGGUGAGUAACACGUGGGCAACCUGCCCAAAAGAGGGGGAUAACACUUGGAAACAGGUGCUAAUACCGCAUAACCAUAGUUACCGCAUGGUAACUAUGUAAAAGGUGGCUAUACUACCGCUUUUGGAUGGGCCCGCGGCGCAUUAGCUAGUUGGUAGGGUAAAGGCUUACCAAGGCAAUGAUGCGUAGCCGAAUUGAGAGGUUGAUCGGCCACAUUGGGACUGAGACACGGCCCAAACUCCUACGGGAGGCAGCAGUAGGGAAUCUUCCACAAUGGGCGAAAGCCUGAUGGAGCAACGCCGCGUGGGUGAAGAAGGUCUUCGGAUCGUAAAACCCUGUUGUUAGAGAAGAAAGUGCGUGAGAGUAACUGUUCACGUUUCGACGGUAUCUAACCAGAAAGCCACUGCUAACUACGUG
Molecule: ribosomal RNA, 512 nt
Filed under: uncultured bacterium
Lineage: Bacteria
Description: partial 16S ribosomal RNA
Rfam family: Bacterial small subunit ribosomal RNA
Source: RNAcentral